GUAGGUGGCAAGCGUUGUCCGGAAUUAUUGGGCGUAAAGCGCGCGCAGGUGGUUCUUUAAGUCUGAUGUGAAAGCCCCCGGCUCAACCGGGGAGGGUCAUUGGAAACUGGGGAACUUGAGUGCAGGAGAGGAAAGUGGAAUUCCACGUGUAGCGGUGAAAUGCGUAGAUAUGUGGAGGAACACCAGUGGCGAAGGCGACUUUCUGGCCUGUAACUGACACUGAGGCGCGAAAGCGUGGGGAGCAAACAGGGAUUGGAUACCCUGGUGGUCCACGCCGUAAACGAUGAGUGCUAAGUGUUGGGGGGGUUUCCCGCCCCUCAGUGCUGCAGCUAACGCAUUAAGCACUCCGCCUGGGGAUACGGUCGCAAGACUG
RNAcentral lists this ribosomal RNA (373 nucleotides) under uncultured organism. RNAcentral describes it as "partial 16S ribosomal RNA". It matches the Rfam family "Bacterial small subunit ribosomal RNA", at positions 527 to 896 of the family's 1533-position model. The record is from RNAcentral.